CCCGCUCCUCCUCCCUCCCUCCUCGAAAGUCCUAAGCGCUGCCAAACAGCUGUUUGGUGGCAGGAAGCACUGGGAGGUAGGCGGAGGAGCGAGGCUGUGGCACGCUGGCUGCCGGUGGAGUCAGUGCCUAUGGCGGGCUGCAGGAAAUAACUCUGCAGGCUGCAUGCGGCCUGCAGACCACAUGUUUGAGACCCCUGAUAUAUCCCCUUUCUGAUAGAAUGAAUUUAGUACCAAUGUAUGUGGUGGAUGCCACCUGUAUGGAUGACUGGGUGAGUCCUCAUCUGCUAGUAAUCUAAGUGACAGCCAAUCCAGAAGGAGAGAUUUUAUGCCCAGUACCACCACGUCCUCUCCUGACUUGCAGGCUUCUCCAGUUCUCACUGAAAGAAACUGGUUCAUCUCUGCUGAGGCACCAUCUUGCUUCCAGGUCUCAGUAGAGCUUCAGAACAUGGACAGAGGAGAACAAAAAAAAUAUUCUUUCCCAGAAAAAUGAUAGCUGAAACAGCCCCUUCUAUGUGCUUCUCCUCUGCAGUCUUCAGCAGUGAGUCCAUUCUACCCUAGACAUAAAACAAAAAAUACUGUAUUCUCAAAUCUUUUAGCUGGGGUAGUAUGUGAAGAGAGAGCUGGUCUUUAGCUUAUGCAGAACUCAAAUCACUAAGGCUUUUUAGAUCAGAACCAAUACCUUGAAUUGCACCAUGGAAGCCUCUUGGGUCAGGUGUAAUAUGUUCCCUGUGGGCUGCCACUUCUGCACCAGCUGAAGUUUACAAGUGGUUUUCAGGUGUAGCCCCCAAUGAAGUGCUUUGCUGAAGUCCAGUAUCCAGGCGAGAAAGGCAAAAAAUAACUGUGCCAAGUUCCACAUCUAAACAGAAUGAUCACAACCUUCCAGUUAAGUACAGAUAGAAAGUAUACUUUUAACCAGUGAUAUCUGGACAUGCAGCAAGAAAACCUAGCUGCAAAAUUGUGUAACAAAAGCUGCAGCCCAGGGAGUAGAAAUUCUCUGCCAUUUCCAGCUAUUAUUUCCCCAUGCCUAACCAGCUUUCCCUUAUUCCAGCUGUCCACUGGUUCUCAUCCAGACCAUUUCAGUUAUAUGCUGGGCAUAUCAGUCAACUGCACUUCCUUCAUCGAGUGAAAUAGUCAUAGAGCUGUGUAUUAUCCACACACACUUGGAAUUAUAGUUCAAACAGUACACUAUUCGAAACCACAAGUGCUGUUCAUCGCAGGCCAGCUGCACAACAGUAACACUGUGCUAUGCUUCGAGAUGUCAUGGGAAAAACCUUUCGACUUCUGGGGUAUACCAUUCAAUAUGGCUGCAUAGCACACUGUGCCUUUGAGUACCUUGGAGGAAUUGUUGUGUGUUCUGGACCUUCAAUGGAACCAACAAUUCAAAAUUCUGACAUUGUCUUUUCGGAGAAUCUUAGCCGCCAUUUUUAUUGCAUUCAGAAAGGUGAUAUUGUAAUUGCAAAAAGCCCAAAUGACCCAAAAUCAAAUAUCUGUAAAAGAGUAAUUGGCUUGGAAGGAGACAAAGUCUGUAUAAGCAGUCCUUCAGAUUUCCGUAAGAGUCACAGUUAUGUGCCUAAAGGGCAUGUUUGGUUAGAAGGAGAUAAUCUCAGGAAUUCUACAGAUUCCAGGUGUUAUGGACCUGUUCCUUAUGGACUGAUAAGAGGACGCAUUUGCUUCAAGUUUUGGAAGCAAUCACUCUCGGUUCCCCACAGAAGGGUGGUCCUGGUCCCAGGCUGGCUGUCAAUCUUUGUUCUGCCUCCAGCCAGCAGGAAGAAUUACUACGAUAUUACCCUAUAAUACAGACUGUCAGAUAUGGAGGGUAUUAAAAAGAAGAUUGAGAAGUAAGAAGGAAAUGUUCCUAUUGCGGUAUCCUCAUCUCAACUAAAGAAUUAAAAGAUAUGGCCUCUGAAUGAUUUUGGAUUUCUGCGUGCUAGCCCCAAUGGUCACAGAUUUUUGGAUGAUUAAGAGAACUAAUAAGUGAAUUCUGCCAGUUUACUUAACUGUCUUACAAUGCUUUAAUAGCUUUUUUUACUGAUUGAAUGAAACGAUGUAUUUACAAUAAAUUAAACAUUAUGUGA
RNA transcript from Mauremys mutica (yellowpond turtle), 2075 nucleotides. It is a transcript of the gene named inner mitochondrial membrane peptidase subunit 1, with no coding region annotated. NCBI's taxonomy places the organism in Eukaryota, Metazoa, Chordata, Testudines, Geoemydidae. The transcript is spliced from 7 exons. The record is from RefSeq and is a predicted model, not a curated record.